GACGAACGCUGGCGGCGUGCUUAACACAUGCAAGUCGAACGGAAAGGCCCCUUCGGGGGUACUCGAGUGGCGAACAGGUGAGUAACACGUGAGUAACCUGCCCUUGACUUCGGGAUAACUUCAGGAAACUGGGGCUAAUACCGGAUAGGAAUCCUUGCUGCAUGGUGGGGGUUGGAAAGCUUCGGCGGUUUUGGAUGGACUCGCGGCUUAUCAGCUUGUUGGUGGGGUAGUGGCUUACCAAGGCUUUGACGGGUAGCCGGCCUGGGAGGGCGACCGGCCACAUUGAGACUGAGAGACGGCCCAGACUCCUACGGGAGGCAGCAGUGGGGAAUAUUGCACAAGGGGCGGAAGCCUGAUGCAGCAACGCCGCGGGCGGGAUGACGGCCUUCGGGUUGUAAACCGCUUUCAGCAGGGGCGAAGCUUGUGGUGACGGUACCUGCAGAAGAAGCACCGGCUAACUACGUG
RNAcentral lists this ribosomal RNA (465 nucleotides) under uncultured bacterium. RNAcentral describes it as "partial 16S ribosomal RNA". It matches the Rfam family "Bacterial small subunit ribosomal RNA", at positions 28 to 507 of the family's 1533-position model. The record is from RNAcentral.